RNAcentral lists this long non-coding RNA (3103 nucleotides) under Marmota monax (woodchuck). The record is from RNAcentral. Lineage: Eukaryota; Metazoa; Chordata; Mammalia; Rodentia; Sciuridae.
CAGACUGGUGAGCUGCAGAGGGCAGGGCUGCUGUGCCUCAAAAUGCCGCCAUCUAGUGGGGGAGGUCCCAAUGAUUGCUCUGGGGACCUGGCGGUGGCCCAGGCCAGCCCUCAGGCUCCAGGCCUUGUGGGAAAGCCGGCCCAGCUCCUCCUGGGCAGCCCUCCAGGUCUGGCACAGAGCAGUGCUGGCUGGGCCGUCCUGUGAUGUGGCAGGUGUGGCCCGCAGGUGACCCGGCGGCGGAGGAGUGGUCCCCGUGGAGCGUGUGCUCCAGCACCUGUGGCGAGGGCUGGCAGACCCGCACCCGCUUCUGCGUGUCCUCCUCCUACAGCACGCAGUGCAGCGGGCCCCUGCGCGAGCAGCGGCUGUGCAACAACUCGGCCGUGUGUCCAGGUGGGCGCGGCCGUGGGGCGCGAGUGGGCAGCAGGGCAGGUGCCGCCGACUCAGAGGGCAGCAGCGCCUUUCUGUCCCUCGACAGUGCACGGAGCCUGGGACGAGUGGUCACCCUGGAGCCUCUGCUCCAGCACCUGCGGCCGCGGCUUCCGGGACCGCACGCGCACCUGCAGGCCCCCCCAGUUUGGAGGCAACCCUUGCGAGGGUCCCGAGAAGCAGACCAAGUUCUGCAACAUCGCCCUGUGCCCUGGUAGGUGAGAGGGAGGGCCCGGGGCGGGCAGGAGGGGCGCACGUCCCAACCCCAGGAGCCCAGACCUGGCUCAGUGUGACCAGAGGCUGGACCCUCACACUGCUCAGGCGGGGUCGGGGUGCCGGUGGAGCCCUGGGGUGCUGGGUGUUCACGCUGGCUUCCUGUCUUCUUCCUCCCCUGGGCCGGGCAGUGGACGGAAACUGGAACGAGUGGUCCAGCUGGAGCACCUGCUCGGCCAGCUGCUCCCAGGGCCGGCAGCAGCGCACACGCGAGUGCAACGGGCCCUCCUACGGGGGCGCCGAGUGCCAGGGCCACUGGGUGGAGACGCGGGACUGCUUCCUGCAGCAGUGUCCAGGUCAGGGCCCCGGCCUGUAGGCCUGCAGGCAGGCCUCGGGGGAGGCCAGGCUCCCUGGGUGGCUGUGGUCCUGCAUGUGGCCGUGGGGCUGGUGCUCAGUCAGUGGGCCGGGCGCGUGCCCCGUGGUGCGGGAGCUCUGUGGUCGGCGUCUUGCUGGUCUCCGGUCUCUUGGACCCUGGUCUUGGUUUUCUUUCUCCUUGUGGCUCCUGCUCCUUGGGUUCUCAUCUCUGUCCUUGUGGCCCCAUGUGUGCCCCUGUGCCCUGUUGCUCCCUGACCCUUACCCUCCUAUCCCCACUGUCUGUGCUUCUGUCUGGCCACCCUUGCAGUGGACGGCAGGUGGCAGGCCUGGGCCUCUUGGGGCAGCUGCAGUGUCACGUGUGGUGGUGGCAGCCAGCGGCGGGAACGUGUCUGCUCUGGGCCCUUCUUUGGGGGAGCAGCCUGCCAGGGCCCCCAGGAUGAGUACCGGCAGUGUGGCACCCAGCGAUGUCCCGGUGAGAGCCCUCCCACACCGUGUUUGGGCUUUGGGGAGAGGCUUGGGGGGUCUGGGCAGCUGACCUAGUUGGAACAGUGGGUGCCAGCUCCCAGCCCCUUCCUGGUCCCCAGCCCCUCACUAUCUCUGGCCCCUUGGCAGAGCCACAUGAGAUCUGUGACGAGGACAACUUUGGAGCUGUGGUCUGGAAGGAAACACCAGCUGGGGAGGUGGCUGCAGUCCGGUGUCCGCGCAAUGCCACAGGUAAGGGGUAUGGGGGCUCCUGUGACGCCCCCAUAGAGUUGCCCCCAGGCUCCACUCUAAGGCCCAGAGCCUAGGCAGCCCCGUGUGCACGCUGAUGUCCAGUAGCACAGGCCAGGAGUUUGGGACCACGUUGUGGGGACACUUUCAGGGCAGCACCCAUGCCAUGCACUUAAUGUGAGAGUCCCUUUGUGAUUCCACACCCCCAUGAGGUCACCACAGCCCGGUCACAGGCGGGAGACUGGGGCGCGUGAAGUCAGCGCCCCCACCUGGGCUUGCAGGGCAGGGAGGAGCAAGGCUCCUGGGAGUGCAGCAUUGGUAACCCCGCGGGCCCCGAGGAGCCGCUGUGGCUGAGAGAGGGUGCGGAAAGCAGGGUGGGCUCCGUGGGGAAGGGGCUCGGCUGCACCCUGGUAUUGGCCGCCUCUCCUGCAGUCUCUGUGCUGAGGGCAGCAGGCAGGGAAACCAGGGCUCAGGUCGGGCCUCACCUCUGCCCUCUUCCCUGAAUGGCAUUGGGGCUCUCGGAACCUGCUUCCUCACCUGUGGCGGAGGCCUUAGGAGGUCCUCCACAGGGGUCCUGGGGACAAGGAGGGCAGUGGGUGCCAGGGGCAGCUGGCCACGCCUGCUGCUCCCCUCCCCUCUGGUUGUUGCUGCGUACUGCAAAUUCUCAGGAGUGAGGUGAAGGACACAGUGCCCCUCGGUGCCUUGCCCAGCCUGUCCGCGCGUGUGACUGCACCCUAGGGCCUGUUGCUUUGGUCCCAAUCUGCAUCAGUGGCCAGGGAGCUGCCUCAGGCCACCCUGUGGUCCUGUUGGAUGACAGGCUGUGAUGGCCCCACAUGGCUGUCACCUCCUUGUGUGCGUCAGCUCUCCCUCUUCCUCUGAGGACCUCCUGGGGUACCUGCCAUCAGACAGUGACCUCUGCCCCAGGCCAUUGAUGUAAUGCCAGAUAGCCCCCGAAGCUGGCCUGUGUCCUGGGCCAGCGAAGCCCUGCGCCCUGUGGAGGAAAGACGGGGGCCAGGUGCCGGUGCUCCCCAGGGCUCUGGACUGGGAGGAGCCUGGGAGAGGCCCUGGCUCCCUGCAGUGGGCCCAGGAAGGCUUGGUGCCUGCUGGGUCCCUGGCACCCCGGGCGGUGCUCAAUGGCAGCUCAGAGUUUGUGGCAUGAAGGGAACAGGGCUGGCCCGGCCUUGGGUAUCGGGGUGGAGAGUUAGUGGCAGAGCCACUCCUGCGGGAGCUGUGCGUGGGACCCCUGUGCUGGGCAGUGCACGUCCACCUGAGAAGGGGAAGGUCUCCCCAGGCCUCAUCCUGCGGCGCUGUGAGCUGGACGAGGAGGGCAUCGCCUACUGGGAGCCCCCCACCUACAUCCGCUGCGUCUCCAUCGACU